UCCCUGGUGGUCCAGUGGCUAAGACUCCUUGCUACCACGGCAAGGGGUCCAGGUUCAAUUCCUGGUCAGGGAA
This 73-nucleotide transfer RNA is filed under the name Ovis aries (sheep). It matches the Rfam family "tRNA". From Rfam's summary of the family: Transfer RNA (tRNA) molecules are approximately 80 nucleotides in length. Their secondary structure includes four short double-helical elements and three loops (D, anti-codon, and T loops). Further hydrogen bonds mediate the characteristic L-shaped molecular structure. tRNAs have two regions of fundamental functional importance: the anti-codon, which is responsible for specific mRNA codon recognition, and the 3' end, to which the tRNAs corresponding amino acid is attached (by aminoacyl-tRNA synthetases). tRNAs cope with the degeneracy of the genetic code in two manners: having more than one tRNA (with a specific anti-codon) for a particular amino acid; and 'wobble' base-pairing, i.e. permitting non-standard base-pairing at the 3rd anti-codon position. Lineage: Eukaryota; Metazoa; Chordata; Mammalia; Artiodactyla; Bovidae. The record is from Rfam by way of RNAcentral.